UACAGAGGUCUCAAGCGUUGUUCGGAAUUACUGGGCGUAAAGGGCGCGUAGGCGGCCUCCUAAGUCGAACGUGAAAUCCCCGGGCUCAACCCGGGAACUGCGUCCGAUACUGGAAGGCUUGAAUCCGGGAGAGGGAUGCGGAAUUCCAGGUGUAGCGGUGAAAUGCGUAGAUAUCUGGAGGAACACCGGUGGCGAAGGCGGCAUCCUGGACCGGCAUUGACGCUGAGGCGCGAAAGCCAGGGGAGCAAACGGG
Molecule: ribosomal RNA, 253 nt
Filed under: uncultured bacterium
Lineage: Bacteria
Description: partial 16S ribosomal RNA
Rfam family: Bacterial small subunit ribosomal RNA
Source: RNAcentral